Molecule: ribosomal RNA, 2052 nt
Filed under: Triticum aestivum (bread wheat)
Lineage: Eukaryota; Viridiplantae; Streptophyta; Magnoliopsida; Poales; Poaceae
Description: partial small subunit ribosomal RNA
Source: RNAcentral
AUGGAAGAAAAAGUUUGUAAGCAGGGGCAUGAGAAGGCAAAUUCAUUUUUCACUGUUUAUGCGGGAGCAAUUGAGCUCAAGAUUAGAACGCCAUUUUUGCCCAUCGAUGAUUCCAGAUUUUCAGCUGCUUUAAUCCACCGGCAAGCGGAAGCGCUCCACCGUCACCAUGUCACCGAUGACUGCCACUUUGAUAGCCCUUGCCUUGUGCCUCGCCCCUGCACCGGGCGCAGCGGCGUCCGCUGCGGGGCAACGACACGCUGGUCUCGGCACAGGGCAGGUUCGAGCUCGGCCUGUUCAGCCCCGCUGGCAGCUCCGGCGACAGGUUCUACCUCGGGAUUUGGUACAAGAACAUCACCGGCUAGACCAUCAUCUGGGUGGCCAACCGCGCGAGUCCACUAUCUGCUGUCGCCUCCGCCGAGCUCCGGGUGUCCGCUGACGACGGCAACCUCGAGCUCGUUGGUCGUGUGGUCUUCGAACUUGUCGUCGUCGUUGUCUUUCUCGCCGUCCCCUGGCUCGAACACCUCCAACGUGUUGUGGCAGAGCUUCGAGCACCCGACGGACACGCACAUGUCGGGGGCAUGGGUUGGUGAGAACAAGCUCACCGGCGAGUACCAGGUGCUGACGUCGUGGCGGAACGCCCAAGACCCUGAACCUGGGAUAUUCAUCGAGACGGUGGACCCCAAUGGCAGCAGCGAGUUCCUCUUCAUGUGGAACCGGUCCCGUACGUACUGGCAGACCGGCCUUUGGACGGGGCGCUUCUUCGCGAACAUGCCGGAGUCGGCGAGGGGGAACGUCCUGUUCAACCAGACGUACGUCGAGACGCCGGCGUACCGGCGCCUCACCAAUAUCCUCUAUAACAACGAGACCAUCACGCGCUUGGUGCUUGAUCUCAGUGGCCAGAGCUGGCAACUCUUCUGGACCGCGCCCACCGAGCGAGUUGCCUUGCCGGUGCCCGCCCAGUUUCACUCCAGCGCCGGAGGGGGGCUGGACGCUCAGCGACCGGAGCGUGGCUGCCGCCAGAGCUCGCCACUCACGUGCGCGCGCAACGGGUCAAUGACGGACGGGUUCCUAGCGUUGCGGAAGGUGAAGCUCCUGGAUGACCCGCUCGCCGUGGGCGUGGCCCAGAGCAAAGCAGAGUGCGAGUCCGCUUGUCUCAAGAGCUGCUCUUGCCAGGCCUACGCUUUCUCCAACGGGGAUUGCGCUGUUUGGCCCGGAGACCUCCGCAAUGUUCAGCAGCUCUACGCGGACUCCGGCGUCUCCGGGUCAGACCUGUAUCUCCGGCUCUCGGCAACAGGAUUGCGAGACCUCCAUAGCGCAGACCGGAAGAAAGGGGAGAAUCAUUGGCUUAUUCUUGGCAUGACAAUGGUCGGUGUUCUGGCCUUUGGAGCAUCGUUAAUACUGGGCUGGAGGAUUCUUGGUGCCCGGAGGAGGCGACUGGCCAACAUGGCCAACGAGAACUCUUUGACGGUGUACAGCUACGGCGACCUCCGUGCCGCCACGAAGAACUUUUCGGAGCGACUCGGCGGCGGCGGCUUCGGCUCGGUGUCCCACGGUGUCCUGAAGCAGCAAUGCAUCGUACACUGCGACAUCAAGCCAAAGAACAUCCUGCUGGACGAGGACAUGUCGGCGAGGAUCGCCGACUUUGGGAUGGCGAAGCUGGUAGGGAGGAAUUUCAGCCGAGCGUUGACGACGAUGCGGGGCACCAUCGGGUACCUUGCGCCGGAGUGGAUCUCCGGGCAGCCCAUCAGCGCGAAGGUGGACGUGGUACAGCGAGGUGGAGGCGACAGGGACCAUGGAGCGUGGGCGUCGACCUUCUUCCCAGUGUGGGCCGCGAGGAAGGUCGUGGAAGGAGAAGUGAGCGUCGUGGCUGACCCGCGGCUGCACUGCGACGUGAGGCUGGAGGAGUUGGAGUGCGCGUGCAGGGUGGCGUGUUGGUGCGUCCAGGGCGAGGAGGUGCGGCGCCCGACCAUGGUGCAGGCCGUGCAGGUGCUGGAGGGCGCCGUCCAGGUCCACGCGCCGCCGGUGCUGCAGCACCUUGUCACGCUCACGUAA